UUGUAAGUUGUCUUUUGCUUCUUUGUUUUAUCACCAUGAGAUUCAUUACUCGUCUAGAUUAUUGAUUUACAGCUGAGCACCAAUCCCAAUCCUUCUAAGGAACAACUAGUCCAUGUCGUGGAGCAUCAUUUCUUAAAACAGGUAGGGUAGCAAACUCAGUGUGAUUUUUAAAUCAAAUAAAAUAGAAUAGAAAAAAUAACUCACAACGCUUGCCUUAUUUCUUUCCAUUUGCUUACACGAAGCAAUUGGAUGAGAUGCAGGUGAUCGUGGGUUUUAUUCAGACGGCAAAG
Molecule: long non-coding RNA, 290 nt
Filed under: Zostera marina
Lineage: Eukaryota; Viridiplantae; Streptophyta; Magnoliopsida; Alismatales; Zosteraceae
Description: long non-coding RNA (ZMAR_LNC001350)
Source: RNAcentral